Molecule: non-coding RNA, 112 nt
Filed under: Paenibacillus sp.
Lineage: Bacteria; Bacillati; Bacillota; Bacilli; Caryophanales; Paenibacillaceae
Description: TPP sequence
Rfam family: TPP riboswitch aptamer (THI element)
About the family: Vitamin B(1) in its active form thiamin pyrophosphate (TPP) is an essential coenzyme that is synthesised by coupling of pyrimidine and thiazole moieties in bacteria. The previously detected thiamin-regulatory element, thi box was extended, resulting in a new, highly conserved RNA secondary structure, the THI element, which is widely distributed in eubacteria and also occurs in some archaea. Analysis of operon structures identified a large number of new candidate thiamin-regulated genes, mostly transporters, in various prokaryotic organisms.
Source: RNAcentral
AUAUUGGGAUGCGGGAGCUUGAGUGAAUCAGGCUGAGAUUGCAGCUGUAUCCGCUGCUGACCGGGAAUCUGAUCUGGAUAAUGCCAGCGUAGAGAAUUCGCGAUAGAAGCCC